UAGUGGUUGUUAACAGUUAACACACUUAAGACAGCUAGAGGUGGAUCUUCGGAUGGCCGCACUUUAGUGCCAAACAUCAAGAGGAUUUUAGAUUUCGAUUGAGAGGUUACUGUAAUGUGAGUCAUACUUAUCCGGAAGUGUGAUCCACCUCAAGAGGAUUUUAAUCGAAAAUCAUGAAUGCUUUUAUUUAUUAAUAUUGAGCUUUAGAUCAUCCUUUAUGUUGAAUGCAUAUUCUAACAUAGUUCCUAAGCAACCUCUUGACGACAGGUUUGUUUGGCGCUCUUCCAAGGACGGUAAUUUGACUGCAAACCAAGCCUAUGAAUUCUUUUUUCCGGCACAACAGCGGGUAGAUUGGACUGCUUGGCUUUGGCAUGUUUGUGUACCACCAUCUGCAUCAUUUAUUGCCUGGCGAUGCUUCCAUAAUAAAAUGCCUACAGAGGACACACUUAAGACAGCUAGAGCUGGAUCUUCGGAUGGCCGCACUUUAGUGCCAAACAUCAAGAGGAUUUUAGAUUUCGAUUGAGAGGUUACUGUACUGUGAGUCNNNNNNNNNNNNNNNNNNNNACCUCAAGAGGAUUUUAAUCGAAAAUCAUGAAUGCUUUUAUUUAUUAAUAUUGAGCUUUAGAUCAUCUGUUAUGUUGAAUGCAUAUUCUAACAUAGUUCCUAAGCAACCUCUUGACGACAGGUUUGUUUGGCGCUCUUCUAAGGACGGU
RNAcentral lists this long non-coding RNA (713 nucleotides) under Trifolium pratense (red clover). RNAcentral describes it as "long non-coding RNA (TPRA_LNC013230)". The record is from RNAcentral. Lineage: Eukaryota; Viridiplantae; Streptophyta; Magnoliopsida; Fabales; Fabaceae.